This 841-nucleotide unclassified non-coding RNA is filed under the name Zea mays. RNAcentral's name for it is "misc RNA Zm00001eb034930". Lineage: Eukaryota; Viridiplantae; Streptophyta; Magnoliopsida; Poales; Poaceae. The record is from RNAcentral.
CUCUGAUUCCUGUAAAUCAGAAAACAUCUUCCUCUGAGUUUAAAGAAGCAAUGUUUGCUACAGAUCCACAAACCAAUGAAUGUGACAAAUGCAAUGAAGAGGGGGAAAAUCUGGGGGAUGAAAACAAUGAGAAGGUAGACUUUGAAGACAGUGAUGAAGACCUUCUUAGUUCCCAAGAGCUUAACAACUUUGUGAAAGGAAUGGGUGUUGAGAUAGCGGAUGAGCAGGAAUUGGAGAUGGAUGAGGGUGAACUCCUCAAAGUUCAAGAUGAGCAACAAACUGGUAAGGAUAAAAAAGGUAAAGCCAAGUUGGUAGAUCAAGUUGAAGGCACAAGGAAAAGUAGCAGACUGGAGGCAAAUGAAGAUACCAGGAUUACGGACAAAGCCAUCAACAGAGCUGAAGCGAAGGAUGCCUUCUUGAACAUAGAAAAAAUCGGCAAGAAGGAUGCUGGAGGAAAGAAGCAAUCAUAUCAGAAAAAUGGCUAGUGAGUUCUUCAGUCGAGCUUGGGGAUGGUCUCCAGUUGACAGGAGGCUGACACAGUGAUCGGUUGAGUGGGGGAUCCUUUUUGGCGAUGAUGCUUCUUUCUGUUCUUGAACCUAGAGACUCUUUUGGCUAUUAUAUCAGGAUGUCGGUCUGUAAUAAUGUCUUGGUUAAAUCCCCUUUCUUGUCUUAGUCGUCUUGGUUUGGCAAUAGAUUUUGGGUCAGGUCUGAUCAUAGAUGUUGCUGGAUUAGUUGCUGAGCUUUUGUUGCCAAUGGCUUGUUUUGGCUAAGACAUUUCUGGUGUGUGUCUGUAUGUGUUUCCUGUUUCUUAAUGAAAUAGGGGGGAAACCCCUUUUCGUCA